Molecule: ribosomal RNA, 322 nt
Filed under: uncultured eukaryote
Lineage: Eukaryota
Description: partial 18S ribosomal RNA
Rfam family: Eukaryotic small subunit ribosomal RNA
Source: RNAcentral
CCCUUAGAUGUUCUGGGCCGCACGCGUGCUACACUGAGUGGAUCAGCGGGUCAGGUUGCGCGAAAGUGUGUCCUAAUCUUGAAAUCCGCUCGUGAUGGGGAUUGACGGUUGCAAUUUUCCGUCAUGAACGAGGAAUACCUUGUAAGCGCGGGUCAUCAUCCCGCGCUGAAUACGUCCCUGCCCUUUGUACACACCGCCCGUCGCUCCUACCGAUUGAGUGGUCCGGUGAGGCUUUGGGAUCUGAGCGGAAAGAGCGUUUCGCUGUUUCUGCUCGGAAAACUCAGUCGAACCUUAUCAUUUAGAGGAAGGAGAAGUCGUAACA